CUAGUAUCAUCUUUCUCGGCAAAGACACAAUAAAAUCUUCUUCUGCAUAACGUGAUGUGAGGAUUCCCAAAAACAUCAACACUGAAGUUGAGGAAGAGAAAAGGGACAAUGCAUCGGAUAUUAUAAAGAUGUUGAACAAAAUCUUUU
This is a long non-coding RNA of Juglans microcarpa x Juglans regia, 147 nucleotides long. RefSeq lists it as uncharacterized. The transcript has 3 exons. The record is from RefSeq and is a predicted model, not a curated record. Lineage: Eukaryota; Viridiplantae; Streptophyta; Magnoliopsida; Fagales; Juglandaceae.